CUACGGGACGCUCCAGUGAGGAAUAUUGCACAAUGGGGGGAACCCUGAUGCAGCAACGCCGCGUGGAGGAUGACGCAUUUCGGUGCGUAAACUCCUUUUAUAUGUCAAGAAAAUGACGGUAGCAUAUGAAUAAGCACCGGCUAACUCCGUGCCAGCAGCCGCGGUAAUACGGAGGGUGCAAGCGUUACUCGGAAUCACUGGGCGUAAAGGACGCGUAGGCGGGUUGGAAAGUCAGGUGUGAAAUCCUACAGCUUAACUGUAGAACUGCACUUGAAACUUCUAAUCUAGAGUAUGGGGAGGGGAGAUGGAAUUAGUGGUGUAGGGGUAAAAUCCGUAGAUAUCACUAGGAAUACCUAAAGCGAAGGCGAUCUCCUGGAACAUUACUGACGCUAAGGCGUGAAAGCGUGGGGAGCAAACAGGAUUAGAUACCCGGGUAGUC
Molecule: ribosomal RNA, 439 nt
Filed under: uncultured bacterium
Lineage: Bacteria
Description: partial 16S ribosomal RNA
Rfam family: Bacterial small subunit ribosomal RNA
Source: RNAcentral